CAUUCCGAGGAGCGCUGCAAGGCGUGGCCCACAAGGCUGCCCCCAGGCUCGGAUUCAAACUGCGCUCACCUGAA
RNAcentral lists this non-coding RNA (74 nucleotides) under Aquaspirillum sp. RNAcentral's name for it is "SAH sequence". It matches the Rfam family "SAH (S-adenosyl-L-homocysteine) riboswitch aptamer". Lineage: Bacteria; Pseudomonadati; Pseudomonadota; Betaproteobacteria; Neisseriales; Aquaspirillaceae. RNAcentral also lists the same sequence under 1 other name. The record is from RNAcentral.